This 523-nucleotide ribosomal RNA is filed under the name uncultured bacterium. Its description in RNAcentral is "bacterial SSU rRNA". It matches the Rfam family "Bacterial small subunit ribosomal RNA", at positions 355 to 896 of the family's 1533-position model. The record is from RNAcentral.
UGGGGAAUUUUGCGCAAUGGGGGAAACCCUGACGCAGCAACGCCGCGUGGAGGAUGAAGUCUCUUGGGACGUAAACUCCUUUCGAUCGGGACGAUAAUGACGGUACCGGAAGAAGAAGCCCCGGCUAACUUCGUGCCAGCAGCCGCGGUAAUACGAGGGGGGCGAGCGUUGUUCGGAAUUAUUGGGCGUAAAGGGUGCGUAGGCGGUUCGGUAAGUCUUGUGUGAAAUCUUCGGGCUCAACUCGAAGUCUGCACGAGAAACUGCCGGGCUUGAGUGUGGGAGAGGUGAGUGGAAUUUCCGGUGUAGCGGUGAAAUGCGUAGAUAUCGGAAGGAACACCUGUGGCGAAAGCGGCUCACUGGACCACAACUGACGCUGAGGCACGAAAGCUAGGGGAGCAAACAGGAUUAGAUACCCUGGUAGUCCUAGCCCUAAACGAUCAGGACUGGGCGUGGGCCCUGUACGGGGCUCGUGCCGUAGCUAACGCGUUAAGUCCUGCGCCUGGGGAGUACGGUCGCAAGGCUG